AACUGCCUACAGUUUGCACCCUUAGUAAAAGAAAACAAAGCCACUACAAUUUAGGGAGGGGUUACUCUGCACCAGGUGGGGUAAACUCAUUAUGUGAGUUAUAUGGUUUCAUCCUCAUGUCAACACUGAUGGAGAGUGGUGUCGGUACUGCUAUUAAUCCACCUUUUGAAGAUGAGGGAAUGGAGGCCAAAAGAACUGAUCUCAGUGACUUUGGACAGGGAUUCUGGUAAAAUAAAAUCUGACCCUGUUGGAAGGUGCUUGAAACAACAGAGAAUAGCCACGGUCUGCCUAUGAGAAGGAAGAGUGGCAAUAGGUAGUUUCAGUCCUGGAGGAGAUCCAGCAUGAUGUGGGGGAGCCCUUCAAGGCCCCAGCUGUUCAUUGCCCCCUGUGCCCGUGUGCCUAUGACUUUGUGCCCUCCCUUCAAGACUAGGAUGCUCUGCCUUGUCCUUCGAUUCUGGGCUAAGUUGUGUACCUUGCUUCAACCCUUACAAUAUGAAAGUCAGGACUGAAGCCCAGGCUUGGGGCACUUUUGUCCAUUAGAGCUUGCUUUCUCGUACACACUGCAUAGUAGCCAUGACGACAUGUCCAGGCCCGCCUGAUGAGGCUGAGAGAUACAUGGAAUGGAGUCCCAGCUGACCCAGAGGGAUCCUGCCUUGAUCAGCUAAACCCCACACAUGAGCGAGGCCAGCUAAGAUCAACAGAGCCACCUGGUCUAUAUCAGCUGAACCUUGCAGACUUCUGAAAAAUAAGUGGUUUUUUUAAAUUAAACAAAUCAAACUUUUAAUUUUGAAAUCCAUGUAGAUUUACAUGCACUUGUAAGAAAUAAAGAUCCCAUAAAAAAAAAAGAUCCCAUGCACCCUUUAUCCAGUUUUCCUCAAUGGUAACAUCAUGCAAAAUUAUAGUACAGUGUCAUAACCAGGAUAGUGACAUUGGUAGAGUCAAGAUACAAAAUACUUGCAUCAGCAUAAGGAUCCCUCAUGUUGCUAUUUAUGACUACAUUCCCUUCCCUCUUGCUCCCACCCUCUCCGUAACCCCUGGAAACCCCCAAUCUAUCCUCUGUUUCUAUUAUUUUGUCAUUUCAAGGAUGUUAUAUGAAUGAAAUCAUAUAGGAUGUAA
Molecule: long non-coding RNA, 1116 nt
Organism: Herpailurus yagouaroundi (jaguarundi)
Lineage: Eukaryota; Metazoa; Chordata; Mammalia; Carnivora; Felidae
Exons: 2
Source: RefSeq, a predicted model, not a curated record